Long non-coding RNA from Arachis duranensis, 875 nucleotides. RefSeq lists it as uncharacterized. The transcript has 2 exons. Lineage: Eukaryota; Viridiplantae; Streptophyta; Magnoliopsida; Fabales; Fabaceae. The record is from RefSeq and is a predicted model, not a curated record.
UAUAACUCAUAUAGGGUUUAAUAAUAAUUAUUAAUUUUUUAUAUUUACCACAUAUAUUUUUAGAAUUCAUAAUAGAUAACCCUAAUUUAUUUUACCUGUAACCUUCGUUGCCUCUCUACCCACUAAUCACCACAACCUACUCCACGAUUAAUCUGUUCUCUGCCGUGCAUCAAGCAUUCGUUGCCGGUUUCAGGCCCUCACCCGGCGUCAGUAUCAUCCUCUUUCUCUUCUCAGCCCAGCACCUCAUUGUCUCAUUCAUUCUCAGUAUCUCUCUUCUCUCUUCGCGUCGUUCGUCUUCAGCCUCAGAGCGGUGGCGUGGGUCUCGGAGAGUCAAUAUCGUCAUCUGCGCCGGGGUGCUCCGUCUCCCCCUUCAUCGCUCCACUUCCAGUGUUCCAAUGGAUCCUCAGCCUCGGCUUAAAUUUUAGGGGCAAAUGAUGAUGAUGAGGCAGAGUUGGAUCUAUAUCAAAGAAUCUUGAAUAUAUAUGGUUGAUUGUGCCUUAGGUAUGGAAAAAGUUGGUGUUGAUGGGAAACACAAGCUUGCAGAUAAAGGUUUUGCUAGUGUCUUCGAAUCACAUUUGAGGGAACUUAAUGCUCCAUUCAUGAGGCUACUCAUAAGGCUGGCUGGUUUUUUACUACAAAUGAAGCAAUCAAGUUAUGGCUGCAGUCUAGGUGUUCAACUAAAAUAGUUGCUGCUUAGAAACUUCAAGGUUUUUUAGGUGUUCUAACAGUGUCUCCCUCACUAUUGAUGGUGUUACUUUAGGGAGUCAUUUGCCAAGUAGUUUUUAUGCAUUUUCCUAUCCCCUCUGCAGAAAUUUUGUACUAGUAGAUUAGAAAAUUAAUACUUUUAAAUAAAUUUUUGGAUUUAUUAGAGAAAA